UACGAAGGGGGCUAGCGUUGCUCGGAAUUACUGGGCGUAAAGCGCACGUAGGCGGCUUUCUAAGUCGGGGGUGAAAUCCUGGAGCUCAACUCCAGAACUGCCUUCGAUACUGGAGAGCUCGAGUCCGGGAGAGGUGAGUUGAACUGCGAGUGUAGAGGUGAAAUUCGUAGAUAUUAGGAAGAACACCGGUGGCGAAGGCGGCCCACUGGAUCGGUACUGACGCUGAGGUGCGAAAGCGUGGGGAGCAAACAGG
This 253-nucleotide ribosomal RNA is filed under the name uncultured bacterium. RNAcentral describes it as "partial 16S ribosomal RNA". It matches the Rfam family "Bacterial small subunit ribosomal RNA", at positions 524 to 776 of the family's 1533-position model. The record is from RNAcentral.